AAAUAAGAAGCAAAUUAUGCAUUUAAUUUCGACUUAAAAAUUUGAGUAUAAUAUAUACUCCUUAUUUA
Molecule: transfer RNA, 68 nt
Filed under: Sataspes xylocoparis
Lineage: Eukaryota; Metazoa; Arthropoda; Insecta; Lepidoptera; Sphingidae
Description: tRNA-Arg
Source: RNAcentral